RNAcentral lists this ribosomal RNA (323 nucleotides) under uncultured bacterium. RNAcentral's name for it is "bacterial SSU rRNA". It matches the Rfam family "Bacterial small subunit ribosomal RNA", at positions 30 to 343 of the family's 1533-position model. The record is from RNAcentral.
AUUGAACGCUGGCGGCAGGCCUAACACAUGCAAGUCGAACGGUAACAGGAAGAAGCUUGCUUCUUCGCUGACGAGUGGCGGACGGGUGAGUAAUGUAUGGGGAUCUGCCCGAUGGAGGGGGAUAACUACUGGAAACGGUAGCUAAUACCGCAUAAUGUCGCAAGACCAAAGAGGGGGACCUUAGGGCCUCUUACCAUCGGAUGAACCCAUAUGGGAUUAGCUAGUAGGUGGGGUAAUGGUUCACCUAGGCGACGAUCUCUAGCUGGUCUGAGAGGAUGACCAGCCACACUGGAACUGAGACACGGUCCAGACUCUUGAAUACG